GCUUACGGCCAUACCAGCCUGUNNACGCCCGAUCUCGUCUUAUCUCGGAAACUAAGCAGGGUCGGGCCUGGUUAGUACUUGGAUGGGAGAUCGCCUGGGAAUACCAGGUGCUGUAAGCUU
RNAcentral lists this ribosomal RNA (120 nucleotides) under Synbranchus marmoratus (marbled swamp eel). Lineage: Eukaryota; Metazoa; Chordata; Actinopteri; Synbranchiformes; Synbranchidae. The record is from RNAcentral.